GGGGCUGUAGCUCAGUGGCAGAGCACUUGCCUAGUAUGCAUUGAGGUGCUGGGUUCAAUCCUCAGCACCACA
RNAcentral lists this transfer RNA (72 nucleotides) under Marmota monax (woodchuck). RNAcentral describes it as "tRNA.Thr". It matches the Rfam family "tRNA". From Rfam's summary of the family: Transfer RNA (tRNA) molecules are approximately 80 nucleotides in length. Lineage: Eukaryota; Metazoa; Chordata; Mammalia; Rodentia; Sciuridae. The record is from RNAcentral.